Molecule: ribosomal RNA, 492 nt
Filed under: uncultured bacterium
Lineage: Bacteria
Description: partial 16S ribosomal RNA
Rfam family: Bacterial small subunit ribosomal RNA
Source: RNAcentral
AGUGAACGCUGGCGGUAGGCCUAACACAUGCAAGUCGAACGGCAGCACAGUAAGAGCUUGCUCUUACGGGUGGCGAGUGGCGGACGGGUGAAGAAUACAUCGGAAUCUACUUUUUCGUGGGGGAUAACGUAGGGAAACUUACGCUAAUACCGCAUACGACCUACGGGUGAAAGCAGGGGAUCUUCGGACCUUGCGCGAUUGAAUGAGCCGAUGUCGGAUUAGCUAGUUGGCGGGGUAAAGGCCCACCAAGGCGACGAUCCGUAGCCGGUCUGAGAGGAUGAUCAGCCACACUGGAACUGAGACACGGUCCAGACUCCUACGGGAGGCAGCAGUGGGGAAUAUUGGACAAUGGGCGCAAGCCUGAUCCAGCCAUACCGCGUGGGUGAAGAAGGCCUUCGGGUUGUAAAGCCCUUUUGUUGGGAAAGAAAAGCAGCAGGUUAAUACCCCGCUGUUCUGACGGUACCCAAAGAAUAAGCACCGGCUAACUUCGUG